This 701-nucleotide long non-coding RNA is filed under the name Mus caroli (Ryukyu mouse). Its description in RNAcentral is "Dmrt1 interacting ncRNA (MGP_CAROLIEiJ_G0034589.1)". The record is from RNAcentral. Lineage: Eukaryota; Metazoa; Chordata; Mammalia; Rodentia; Muridae.
GAGACUGAGCGGUCCUCGAGAGUCGGCCGCCGCCACAGCUGUCAGCGGGAGAGAGUCAGUGCGCGUCUCUGCUGCCAAAAUGUCAAAACUUUGCGGCGCUUCGGUCCGUGAGGAGCUGCGAGAUCCCCUUUUUGUCUCAGAACCUCUUUCUGUGUCUUCCUUCUGACGAAUGAGGUCAUUUCACCCUCCACUGCCAGGCAGUCAUCCGAGGAGCUGGAAAGAGAGCGGAAGCUUAACCUUUAACAGCCCACAGCUUGGCAGCACCAGUUCCGAGCCAGAGAGGACAGUUUAACAAGCUGUCAUAAAGCCAGUGAGGAUCUCAGAUGGCCCAGUUAGAUUGCCAUGGUUGGAAUUUGAUCAGAGAUUGGAGUUCUCAAGUGUAUGCAAAUCUUUGCAUUGAUUAUCUGGGCAUAUCAAACUCAACUUUGUGGAAAUAACUUCCUACUUAUGAUCUUCCUGCUUCCUGAAAAUCCUUUUAGAAUGGCCAGUUUUGUAUUUAUAGAACCCAUGCUAGGCAAGUGUUCUACUGCUAAGCUGUGCCCUACGCCCUCAUAGGGGGAUUCUGGCUGGGUCGGCACUCAACCACAAAGCUAUGAGCAAGAAUGGUCAGUUUUAAAUCUGUCCAGAUAUCAAGCCUAAGGCUUCCAGUCCCAGCUCUGGGCUAGGCACAUAAAUAAAUACCUAGGAGUUCUUUGUUGAAC